Molecule: ribosomal RNA, 253 nt
Filed under: uncultured bacterium
Lineage: Bacteria
Description: partial 16S ribosomal RNA
Rfam family: Bacterial small subunit ribosomal RNA
Source: RNAcentral
UACGUAGGUGUCAAGCGUUGUCCGGAUUUAUUGGGCGUAAAGAGCGCGCAGGCGGUCGUUCAAGUCGCGUGUGAAAGCCCCCGGCUCAACUGGGGAGGGUCACGCGAUACUGAUCGACUCGAAGGCAGGAGAGGGUAGUGGAAUUCCCGGUGUAGUGGUGAAAUGCGUAGAUAUCGGGAGGAACACCAGUGGCGAAGGCGACUACCUGGCCUGUUCUUGACGCUGAGGCGCGAAAGCUAGGGGAGCAAACGGG